RNAcentral lists this ribosomal RNA (468 nucleotides) under uncultured bacterium. RNAcentral's name for it is "partial 16S ribosomal RNA". It matches the Rfam family "Bacterial small subunit ribosomal RNA", at positions 28 to 507 of the family's 1533-position model. The record is from RNAcentral.
GACGAACGCUGGCGGCGUGCUUAACACAUGCAAGUCGAACGGAAAGGCCCUGCGCUUGCGGGGUGCUCGAUUGGCGAACGGGUGAGUAACACGUGAGUAACCCGCCCCUGACAUUGGGAUAACUCUAGGAAACUGGGGCUAAUACCGGAUAGGAGCUUUUGCUGCACGGUGGGGGUAGGAAAGAUUCGGCGGUUGGGGAUGGACUGGUGGCUUAUCACUGUGUUGGUGGGGUAGUGGCUUACCAAGGCACUGAGGGGUAGCCGACAUGAGAGGGUGAACGGCGACAUUGGGACUGAGAUACGGCCCAGACUCCUACGGGAGGCAGCAGUGGGGAAUAUUGCGCAAUGGGCGGAAGCCUGAUGCAGCAGCGCCGCGUGCGGGAUGACGGCCUUCGGGUUGUAAACCGCUUUCGCCGGAGACGAAGCGUGAGUGACGGUAAUGGGUAAAGAAGCACCGGCUAACUACGUG